UACGUAUGGGGCAAGCGUUAUCCGGAUUUACUGGGUGUAAAGGGAGCGUAGGCGGCGGGGCAAGCCUGAUGUGAAAGCCCGGGGCUCAACCCCGGGACUGCAUUGGGAACUGCCCUGCUGGAGUGCCGGAGGGGCAGGCGGAAUUCCUAGUGUAGCGGUGAAAUGCGUAGAUAUUAGGAGGAACACCAGUGGCGAAGGCGGCCUGCUGGACGAUGACUGACGCUGAGGCUCGAAAGCGUGGGGAGCAAACAGG
RNAcentral lists this ribosomal RNA (253 nucleotides) under uncultured bacterium. RNAcentral describes it as "partial 16S ribosomal RNA". It matches the Rfam family "Bacterial small subunit ribosomal RNA", at positions 524 to 776 of the family's 1533-position model. The record is from RNAcentral.